This 301-nucleotide ribosomal RNA is filed under the name uncultured bacterium. Its description in RNAcentral is "partial 16S ribosomal RNA". It matches the Rfam family "Bacterial small subunit ribosomal RNA", at positions 509 to 807 of the family's 1533-position model. The record is from RNAcentral.
CAGUAGCCGCGGGAAUACGAAGGGGGCUAGCGUUGUUCGGAAUUACUGGGCGUAAAGCGCACGUAGGCGGAUAUUUAAGUCAGGGGUGAAAUCCCGCAGCUCAACUGCGGAACUGCCUUUGAUACUGGGUAUCUUGAGUAUGGAAGAGGUUAGUGGAAUUGCGAGUGUAGAGGUGAAAUUCGUAGAUAUUCGCAGGAACACCAGUGGCGAAGGCGGCUAACUGGUCCAUAACUGACGCUGAGGUGCGAAAGCGUGGGGAGCAAACAGGAUUAGAGACCCCUGUAGUCCCUGUCUCUUAUAC